CCGGGGUGGAGUAAUGUCUGGGAAACUGCCCGAUGGAGGGGGGUAACUACUGGAAACGGUAGCUAAUACCGCAUAACGUCGCAAGACCAAAGAGGGGGACCUUCGGGCCUCUUGCCAUCGGAUGUGCCCAGAUGGGAUUAGCUAGUAGGUGGGGUAAUGGCUCACCUAGGCGACGAUCCCUAGCUGGUCUGAGAGGAUGAUCAGCCACACUGGGACUGAGACACGGCCCAG
Molecule: ribosomal RNA, 231 nt
Filed under: uncultured bacterium
Lineage: Bacteria
Description: partial 16S ribosomal RNA
Rfam family: Bacterial small subunit ribosomal RNA
Source: RNAcentral